GUGCCAGCCGCCGCGGUAAGACGAACCGUACGAACGUUAUUCGGAAUUACUGGGCUUAAAGGGUGCGUAGGCUGCACGGAAAGUUGGGUGUGAAAGCCCUCAGCUCAACUGAGGAAUUGCAUCCAAAACUGCCGUGCUUGAGGGAGACAGAGGUGAGCGGAACUCAAGGUGGAGCGGUGAAAUGCGUUGAUAUCUUGAGGAACACCGGUGGCGAAAGCGGCUCACUGGGUCUCUUCUGACGCUGAGGCACGAAAGCUAAGGUAGCAAACGGGAUUAGAUACCCCGGUAGUCUUAGCUGUAAACGAUGAGCACUUGAUUGGAGGGUCCUCCAUAGCCUUCCAGUCGUAGCGAAAGUGUUAAGUGCUCCGCCUGGGGAGUAUGGUCGCAAGGCUAAAACUCAAAGAAAUUGACGG
RNAcentral lists this ribosomal RNA (413 nucleotides) under uncultured bacterium. Its description in RNAcentral is "bacterial SSU rRNA". It matches the Rfam family "Bacterial small subunit ribosomal RNA", at positions 505 to 916 of the family's 1533-position model. The record is from RNAcentral.